RNAcentral lists this ribosomal RNA (419 nucleotides) under uncultured bacterium. RNAcentral describes it as "bacterial SSU rRNA". It matches the Rfam family "Bacterial small subunit ribosomal RNA", at positions 29 to 452 of the family's 1533-position model. The record is from RNAcentral.
AUUAAACGCUGGCGGCAUGCCUUACACAUGCAAGUCGAACGGCAGCACGGGGGCAACCCUGGUGGCGAGUGGCGGACGGGUGAGUAAAGCAUCGGAACGUAUCCUGGAGUGGGGGAUAACGUAGCGAAAGUUACGCUAAUACCGCAUAUUCUGUGAGCAGGAAAGCAGGGGAUCGCAAGACCUUGCGCUCUGGGAGCGGCCGAUGUCGGAUUAGCUAGUUGGUGGGGUAAAGGCCUACCAAGGCGACGAUCCGUAGCGGGUCUGAGAGGAUGAUCCGCCACACUGGGACUGAGACACGGCCCAGACUCCUACGGGAGGCAGCAGUGGGAAUUUUGGACAAUGGGCGCAAGCCUGAUCCAGCCAUGCCGCGUGAGUGAAGAAGGCCUUCGGUUGUAAGUACGCUUCGUCGGGAGGAAUAG